CCUACGGGUGGCAGCAGUGGGGGAUAUUGCACAAUGGGGGGAACCCUGAUGCAGCGACGCCGCGUGGGUGAAGGAGUGCUUCGGCAUGUAAAGCCCUAUCGGCAGGGAAGAAGAAAGACGGUACCUGACUAAGAAGCCCCGGCUAACUACGUGCCAGCAGCCGCGGUAAUACGUAGGGGGCGAGCGUUAUCCGGAUUCACUGGGGGUAAAGGGGGCGUAGACGGCCAUGCAAGCCAGGGGUGAAAGCCCGGGGCCCAACCCCGGGACUGCCGUUGGAACUGUGCGGCUAGAGUGCGGGAGGGGCAGGCGGAAUUCCUGGUGUAGCGGUGAAAUGCGUAGAUAUCAGGAGGAACACCGGCGGCGAAGGCGGCCUGCUGGACCGCGACUGACGUUGAGGCUCGAAAGCGUGGGGAGCGAACAGGAUUAGAUACCCGAGUAGUC
RNAcentral lists this ribosomal RNA (441 nucleotides) under uncultured bacterium. RNAcentral describes it as "partial 16S ribosomal RNA". It matches the Rfam family "Bacterial small subunit ribosomal RNA", at positions 338 to 795 of the family's 1533-position model. The record is from RNAcentral.